Molecule: unclassified non-coding RNA, 246 nt
Filed under: Hevea brasiliensis (rubber tree)
Lineage: Eukaryota; Viridiplantae; Streptophyta; Magnoliopsida; Malpighiales; Euphorbiaceae
Source: RNAcentral
ACCCAUCCAAACGUAAAAUGAUAAAAAAUAAAAUUAUUUUCCCGUUAAAUUUUUUUCCUCUUUUAUUUUCCAAGGAAAAAAUGCAACCAAUAUUAUUAUCUUAUAGCACUCAACAUAUUCAGCUAUAUUUCUCAAUAAAUUCUGUUGAUUAGGAAUUAGGACAAAACUAUAGAAAAUUCUACGGUAAAAAUAAAGUAAAUACUACUUCAUCAAUAACCACUAUAGAUUAUAUUGAAUCAAAUAAAA